Molecule: transfer RNA, 73 nt
Filed under: Pelodiscus sinensis (Chinese soft-shelled turtle)
Lineage: Eukaryota; Metazoa; Chordata; Testudines; Trionychidae
Rfam family: tRNA
About the family: Transfer RNA (tRNA) molecules are approximately 80 nucleotides in length. Their secondary structure includes four short double-helical elements and three loops (D, anti-codon, and T loops).
Source: Rfam by way of RNAcentral
GGGAAAUUAGCUCAAGUGGUAGAGUGCUUGCUUAACAUGUAAGAGGCAGUGGGAUCGAUGCCCAUGUUCUCCA